Molecule: unclassified non-coding RNA, 396 nt
Filed under: Hevea brasiliensis (rubber tree)
Lineage: Eukaryota; Viridiplantae; Streptophyta; Magnoliopsida; Malpighiales; Euphorbiaceae
Source: RNAcentral
UAUUUGUCUUGUGUGUAGUGGGGUUGGUAAGAAAGGGUGGAGGAAGAGGUUUAAGGAUUGUGUGGGUCUUGUUCAGCAUUCGAUUACUAUAUCGAACAAGAGGCAGACACAUAGGGCUUAUGGUCAGGUCAUUUGUCGAAUUCUUGGAUGGGAUAUUAAUAGGCUUCCAUCCAUUGUUUUGUCCGCUGGUGGUAAGCCUAGUGAAUCUUCUGAUAAACCGGUGGAGGCUCAGGGGAAUAAGGAUGCUGGUGGUAAAGAUGAUACGAGUGGUCUAAGCAAUACAACAGAUGCUGUAAAUAUUGGCAGUGAUGAAUUAUCUCAACAAAAACAGUCUUUUAGUAAUGAAAACCAACAAGAAAAUGGUGGUGGCUCCAGAAAAUUAGAGGGGAAUGAGGG